Long non-coding RNA from Alexandromys fortis (reed vole), 953 nucleotides. RefSeq lists it as uncharacterized. The transcript is spliced from 5 exons. NCBI's taxonomy places the organism in Eukaryota, Metazoa, Chordata, Mammalia, Rodentia, Cricetidae. The record is from RefSeq and is a predicted model, not a curated record.
UCCGGAGCACAGACACCAUGCUCCACUCUCCCAGGAUGGACGGAGGCUAGAAUCUUCCCGGACAGCAAUGCAGAUUGCAAAGCUCUGGUCCGGACGCUCCUCUGCGAGUCCUGAACGCAGGAACCUGGCUCGCCUUGAUUGUCCUCAGUUGACACCCGCAAAGGGAGUUGGCCCCUCCCCGCCUUUGCAGUGCUGGUGAUGGAACCCUGGUCUGGUUGGUGCGUGCCAGGUGGCUGACAUGGAAGAGAAACGAAAGAUGGAGACGGAGAUCCUAGAGGUGGAUAAAGUCCCUUGAAGUCGCUUGGAACUCCACAAGCGAAGAGAUGGCUCAGGGGCAAGCUUGGUGACCUGGGCUUCAUCCUGGGGUCCUGUAAGUUGUCCUCUGACCAUCAUAUGUGCACAGUAGCACCUGUGUACCACCCUCCUACCAAAAAAUAGUGAAAUAAAUAUAAUUUUUAAAAUAUAAAAGGAAUUUCGUAACAUAGAAGAAAGGCAGAGGUGGAUGUUGGUAGGCAGGGGACGCACCUCACGGCCACCACAUCUGACUUCCUGUGGGACACUCUGGUUUGGACAACCGUUCUCGUCCUCCUCUGCGUUGGCCCUGUCAGGCAGGCAUUCGCUGCUGCUCUGUGGAAGUUCCAUGUACAGCCCCCCUCUCCCCUCAGGCUCCCGUCAGCUCGCUCUGGAUAUGCCCAGGUUCAUUCCCACAUCUCUAACAGGAAAGGCCGUGAGCAAGAGAACCUCACUGCUUUUGACAAAGGACCUUGUCAGCACACCGUACAUCCUGGGUCCAGUCACCUUGUGUAGGUUGCCAUACAAUCUUGGGACCCUGUCACAACCAACUGGAAAGAAAGAGAUUAUGGGGGACAGAAAUAAGAGGACCCAGCCAGGGACAUCCCAGAUCCACUGGUCACCUGUGGACCCAGCAACUGAGACGCGGCGGACUAGAAGCA